This is a long non-coding RNA of Helianthus annuus (common sunflower), 1648 nucleotides long. RefSeq lists it as uncharacterized. The transcript has 4 exons. NCBI's taxonomy places the organism in Eukaryota, Viridiplantae, Streptophyta, Magnoliopsida, Asterales, Asteraceae. The record is from RefSeq and is a predicted model, not a curated record.
UAGCAGGUUGUAUAGCUCUCAUUAACUUGGGAUUCAUGGCAUUUGAACUUGGAGUCUACAAGUAUUUAUGCGAUGGAUGGCAUAAACUCUCUGUUGUUUAUUGAGCAUUUGCAUUAUGUACCGUUGAUUUCAUAGACUCCCGCCAUAAUCUUUGGAAUGGAUGUUUCUCAUGAUGGUAUGUUGUCUGGUCGUUGCCGAUUGUAGGCGCCUCUGUUGAGCCACCUUACGUGAGCUUUCUUUGCCCUGUUUUCGGGCCAUGAUGGUGAUGUUUGUUCACCUAUUUUACCCCGGGUUACAUUGCCUGAUGGGACUGUGAAGGAAUGGAGGAAAUGGGAAACAACUCAUUUCGACAUAACGAAGGAGUUAUCGAAUAGUUUGUCUUCAAAUGCUUUGAUUUCUCAGGUGGAUGGUGUGCUGUGGCACAUGUCAUGGCAUUUGGAAGGUGGGUGUCAUGUCAGCUCAAGAUAUUCACUUUUGAUAGUGAUGAGGGUCGCGAUACGUGUUGGCAUUCGAGUGCUCAUAUUCUUGGACAGGUUCUGGAACAAACAUAUGGAUGGAAGUUGUGUAUUGGGACGUGUACCAUAGGAGGAGAGGUAUGUUUUUAGUGUUUUGUUCUCUUUACUUCAAGGUUCUUUAGUUGUUAGGGUUGUAGUAAGAUUUGAUAUUGUAUAGUGGAGAUCAAUUUCUCCUGGCUUGUGUGUGUUGCAUUCCACUAAUAUAUGUUGUAGUUGGAAAAUAAAUAAUAUGUUGGAUGGUGUUUUAUAGCUAUCGGGUCAGAUUUUUAAAUAUCUAUGCAAUAGUUUAAUAAAAAUAUCAUUUUUAGCUACCGGGUUACAAAAUUGAUUGUUGGACUUGGAGUUGGUGUCCCAUGGAUUACGUGGCAGCAAAUUGAUACUCUACAAUACAUUGUCCCUUCCUACUAUGUUGGCUUUCCUUUCGAUAAAAGCUAUUCAGAGUUAGAAGUGACACUCUUGACAUGUUCACAUAUGAAUCGGUUGAUUCGUGUUUUAUGUCUAAGGACUAACGGGUUAAAUGGGUAAAUAAAAGUUCAGCUCAAAAACAGAAAAUGAUAAUGUUAAAAAUGGUCAAAAGUGUCCCUGAGUAUAUGUUUAAUGCAAAUAUAUCCUACAUAACUUAUUCAAGAAAUAUAUAUUUUUUUCAUUUAAAUGCAUUACUUUUGUAAUCAUAUUUGAUACACGGGUUGUUUAUACGAAGACUUUAGGUUUGGACAAACUAUGUAUCGGGUCAAACCUGAUCCGUUUCAACCCAUAAAAAAUUACCCCUAUUGACCGGUAACCAAACUCUAUUGAGACGGAACCUAAUUUGAUAACUUGAUUUUGUUUGGACAUGGGUUUGUUAUUGCAAAUGGAUACUAUCAACUCAUUUAUCUGGCGAUUGCUAAGGAGUUUGAAAGCGUGAGAGCUGGUACACCUAUGGCGCUUUUGAUAUGUCAAGAUACGGGCUUGAUGUUCCAUCACAGAAUGAUGAAACUGCUUGGAAGAGCCACUUCGUAAAUCUCAAUGCUUACUUCAACAUCAAGUUAUCGGGUAACAUUCAGUUUUGACUUUCUGAUAAUGGUAUUAUUGCUCCAUGUCUUAUUCUAUACAUUUUUAUCUUAUGCGUUCUUAUAGAAAAUUUGUAACAUUCA